UACGGAGGGUGCAAGCGUUAUCCGGAUUCACUGGGUUUAAAGGGUGCGUAGGUGGGCAGGUAAGUCAGUGGUGAAAUCUCCGGGCUUAACUCGGAAACUGCCGUUGAUACUAUCUGUCUUGAAUAUCGUGGAGGUUAGCGGAAUAUGUCAUGUAGCGGUGAAAUGCUUAGAUAUGACAUAGAACACCCAUUGCGAAGGCAGCUUACUACAUGUUAAUUGACGCUGAGGCACGAAAGCGUGGGGAGCAAACAGG
Molecule: ribosomal RNA, 253 nt
Filed under: uncultured bacterium
Lineage: Bacteria
Description: partial 16S ribosomal RNA
Rfam family: Bacterial small subunit ribosomal RNA
Source: RNAcentral